Long non-coding RNA from Alosa alosa (allis shad), 352 nucleotides. RefSeq lists it as uncharacterized. NCBI's taxonomy places the organism in Eukaryota, Metazoa, Chordata, Actinopteri, Clupeiformes, Clupeidae. The transcript is spliced from 3 exons. The record is from RefSeq and is a predicted model, not a curated record.
UUCUGCCCAACAGCAGGUACAGAACCUCAUGAAGAAGUGUGAGCCCUACUCCAAGAUGGUAAAGGAGUUUCAAAAACUUGAUCUCUCUUUUUCUGAAGAACCAGGAAAGGAUAAACUACCACUGGUGAUUAUAGACGGGAGUAAUGUGGCUAUGAGCCAUGGCCUGGACAUGUUCUAUUCCUGCUUUGGUAUCUCCCGGGCUGUUCAACACUUCUGGAAUAAAGGCUAUCGUAACAUCAUUGCUUGUGUGCCAAACUAUAGACGACAUUCUCCAAGCACUAUCCAUGGUCAUGAAUAUCUAGAAAAGCUGUCCGAGAGAGGCCUUGUAUCAUGGGCUCCAAGCAAAUAUUAC